Mustela erminea (ermine) is the source of this 1118-nucleotide long non-coding RNA. RefSeq lists it as uncharacterized. NCBI's taxonomy places the organism in Eukaryota, Metazoa, Chordata, Mammalia, Carnivora, Mustelidae. The record is from RefSeq and is a predicted model, not a curated record. The transcript has 5 exons.
AUAGCAGAAAAUGAUGACUCAUACCUAUAUUAUGUUUGCUGCAGAACCUCUGCUCCUCUGGAGGAGCUGAGAUCCUCUGCAGUUGCUGGGAUCGAGAAGGAGACGUCUCGUUUGCAGUGUCUCAGUGUGAACUCACUUGCCACAGUGUGAACCCCUUGACAGGAGAUACACAGUGGGACAAGGGAGCCUAUGAAGGUGUCGUAUCCUGAGGGUGAAGAGGGAACGGGCCACAGUGAAGCUCUGGUCUCGGCCUCCCUAGGGAGCCAGCUGAUGUAGUUUCAGACCUGGCAUAGUGGUUACUGUGAGAAUUUGUCACCUGUGCUGGCUUCCUUGCCUGCCCCCAUGACUGGAGUUGGGUGAGAGGACAGAGGGCCCCAUGCCAGCAUCUGGGAAAAAGCCACUGAAUGGCCGAGCUGCACCUUGAACCCAGGUCUGUCACACUGGAGGCCUGAAAUCUUACCUGUACAAUGCACAACUGUUGGAAUGCAGGCACGCCGUCCACUGCCCUGGUCACUUUCUACAGAUUACCAGUCUGGUGGCAUGUGGGGCUCAUUGGAUCCUGGACAUACUGUGGGGUGCUGAGUACACAAGCAUCAGGGGCAUAGAGGCCCAAAAGGUUUCCUUUCCUACUUCUCAGAUUUUCUUCAUGGAGUCUGAGCGUUGGGUUCUGACGUGUGAUAAGAUAUCCUCAGGGAACUAAUUGGUAGAGUGAUUGACACGUGGGCAUACAUUACAGUUUGGCUGUAGGCAAACAUUUAGCCACAGUGAGAACAUUUUAUGGCUUCAUGGAAUGGAAAUGUCUACAACUGAAGGAUCCUGAAAUCCAGGCUCCCAAGUAUCAUUGAUAACCAACAGUGACUGGAUAUCAAUGAACCAUUCUGUCUUAAGCACCAAGCACCAGGUGGAAAGGAGUUUGCAGACUGGGUUACACGAAGCCCUUGGUGUCCAGCGAUAACUUAAGAGUAAACCAUCACAAGGAGCCUCUGGAGUGUGGUCACCUACCUCUCAUCCUCAACUUGACUACAUCAGGUCCAGCAUCAGCAUCUCAGCAUCACCCUCAUCCUGUCCCCGCCUUAAGAACCUGAAGAAUGAGUUUCUGUGGGACAAAGAGUGCACUC